GGGUGUGUUUGUGGGAAGCGAUCGAAGAGGUACUAAGAUAAAAAUGGUGUGGCGACGAGGGGGGUGCAGCAAGAAGGGUGAGGCAUUGGGGCUGAUGGAGGCAUUGGUUUGGUGGAGGAGGUCGAGAAGUGGCGAUUUGGAAAGUAGUGCCAGAUCCAAGUAGUCCCCAAGGAGAGUGAUAACGAGAGGAUGUUGUACACCAACUUGGGGGAGAAGUGGGUUCGAUUAUAGUGGGACAAGCUAGCAGACUUUAGCGUCUCGACAUAGGUCAAUCUGGCAUCGGAGAAUC
RNAcentral lists this long non-coding RNA (289 nucleotides) under Linum usitatissimum (flax). RNAcentral describes it as "long non-coding RNA (LUSI_LNC007041)". Lineage: Eukaryota; Viridiplantae; Streptophyta; Magnoliopsida; Malpighiales; Linaceae. The record is from RNAcentral.